This 643-nucleotide long non-coding RNA is filed under the name Monodelphis domestica (gray short-tailed opossum). Its description in RNAcentral is "lncRNA (ENSMODG00000051368.1)". The record is from RNAcentral. Lineage: Eukaryota; Metazoa; Chordata; Mammalia; Didelphimorphia; Didelphidae.
UAUCAUGAUUAAAACUCCUGCCUCCUUUUUCUCAUUUGAACCCCAAUAGAUUUUGCUCCAGACUUUGACCCUCAUCCUGUGUGUUUCUACCUUCCUCAUGUGUGUUACUUGUAGACAACAUAUGCAAGAAAACUGACAAAAACUUUAAAAAGAGUAAAAUGCUCUUCAUUAAGGGAAGACUCAAACCUAAGAAAUAUAAAAUUGAUAUUCCUGCAACACAGGCAUGCCCUUGUCACUUACCUGCUCAAGAAGCUUCAGAGCCUCUCAGUUCCCUCUAGGUCAAAAUACAAAAUGUGGCACUUCAAGCCCUUCAAAAUCUGGUACCUGCUUAUCUUCGUAGGCUGAUUACAUAUUACCCAUCUAUGUUCCAACCAAAUCGUUCUACUUGAUAUUUGACAUUCCACAUUGCAUAUGCUUUCCAUCUUGCUUGAAAUUCUCUUGCCCUUCACCUAUGCCUCUUGGAACCAUAGGUGCUUCCUUUGAGAUUCAGCUAUAGUGCUGUCCUUAUAAGUGGUCUUUCCUGAUUCCUUCAGGGGUUAGUAUUUCCCAUCUCUCUAAAACUACUUUGUAUUUAUCGAGGUAUCUAUGCAAGUGCUUAUUGUCAUCCUUUCCUCGUUUCUCCCUCUGUCCAUCCCUAAUACCC